CAGUCGCCGCGGUAAUACGUAGGUGGCAAGCGUUGUCCGGAAUUAUUGGGCGUAAAGGGCUCGCAGGCGGUUUCUUAAGUCUGAUGUGAAAGCCCCCGGCUCAACCGGGGAGGGUCAUUGGAAACUGGGAAACUUGAGUGCAGAAGAGGAGAGUGGAAUUCCACGUGUAGCGGUGAAAUGCGUAGAGAUGUGGAGGAACACCAGUGGCGAAGGCGACUCUCUGGUCUGUAACUGACGCUGAGGAGCGAAAGCGUGGGGAGCGGACAGGAUUAGAUACCCGCGUAGUCCCUGUCUCUUAUAC
This 301-nucleotide ribosomal RNA is filed under the name uncultured bacterium. RNAcentral describes it as "partial 16S ribosomal RNA". It matches the Rfam family "Bacterial small subunit ribosomal RNA", at positions 509 to 807 of the family's 1533-position model. The record is from RNAcentral.